This 477-nucleotide ribosomal RNA is filed under the name uncultured bacterium. RNAcentral's name for it is "partial 16S ribosomal RNA". It matches the Rfam family "Bacterial small subunit ribosomal RNA", at positions 29 to 507 of the family's 1533-position model. The record is from RNAcentral.
AUGAACGCUAGCGGCAGGCCUAACACAUGCCAGUCGAGGGAGAAGCCCUUUCGGGGGCAGAAACCGGCGCACGGGUGCGUAACGCGUAUGCAACCUACCUUUCACAGGGGGAUAGCCCGAAGAAAUUUGGAUUAAUACCCCAUAAUAUUAUUGGAUGGCAUCAUUUGAUAAUUAAAACUGCGGUGGUGAAAGAUGGGCAUGCGUCCUAUUAGCUAGUUGGAGUGGUAACGGCACCCCAAGGCUACGAUAGGUAGGGGUCCUGAGAGGGAGAUCCCCCACACUGGUACUGAGACAGGGACCAGACUCCUACGGGAGGCAGCAGUGAGGAAUAUUGGUCAAUGGUCGGAAGACUGAACCAGCCAUGCCGCGUGCAGGAAGAAUGCCUUAUGGGUUGUAAACUGCUUUUAUAUGGGAAGAAUAAGGCGUACGUGUACGUUGAUGACGGUACCAUAUGAAUAAGCAUCGGCUAACUCCGUG